Small nucleolar RNA from Ornithorhynchus anatinus (platypus), 140 nucleotides. NCBI's taxonomy places the organism in Eukaryota, Metazoa, Chordata, Mammalia, Monotremata, Ornithorhynchidae. The record is from RefSeq and is a predicted model, not a curated record.
ACGUUCUCAGGAUUGCACCUGGAGAGUUUCCAGUACUCUUCCAGCCUCGACUACAGGAGAGAGAGUCAAGCAGAGGCAUAUCCAUUCCAUUCCUAGCUUGGGCAGUGGCUAGCCAGUGGAAGGCAAAAUCUGCUACAAGA